UCGAUCUCCCGACCUUGUGAUCCGCCCGCCUCGGCCUCCCAAAGUGCUGGGAUUACAGGUGUGAGCCCCCACGCCCGGCCGCUGCCAGGCUUUUUGCCUUCUCCAGGCCGGCAUAUAUUUGGUGCGCAUUUAAAUCUCCCUUAAACAAAGUGUAGAAAAAAAAGUGCUUUAACAAAUUUGAAUCAAUAUAUCUUUCACCUGUGCAAGAUCUAUGAGAAUAGAGACUGAAAGUUUUUUCAUUAUAUUAAUAAAUCACUAGUGCUUAGCGUGAAAUAGUUUCUUAAUUCUUUUCAACAGAUAAACAAAUAUGUAGAUUUUGAAAACAUCUUUUAAAUUCCUAUUAAAUAUCUCGUUUUAAAAAUACAUCUGAAAUAAAUCUUUCCCUACACAUAUUAAAAAACCUUUUUCUUUUGGGGUUUACAAGUAGUCUCUCCAAGGAACUGGGGCAAAGAAAAUUCCAAGGAAGCUACACGUAUUAGAAAAAUCUUUGUGUUAGUUGAGAACUGUACCAUGUAACUUUGUAAGACAAUAUUUUAUUUAAUUUUCUUAAACGUUGUUAUAAAGGGAUGUCACUAUAGUGAUACUGUUUUAGGUGGAUAUAAUACUUACCUUUACCCUCUUUUUAUUGAUUUUUAAAUAUUACACACAUUUUAAUUAGUGGCAAUUUUACAAUAAUGUGAGGCUCUUAGAAAAGUGUUCAUUUUUGCUCAUGAGAAAUGGGAAAUGUGUUGGAGUUUUGGAGUUCCAGUUCAAAUAACUGAAGAAAAAAAUAUAUGUAUAUAUGUAUAUAGUGGCUUCAACUGCAUACUUUAAUCAGCUUAGGAACAGUUAUCCCAAAUUUCUUUCUUAACACAUAGUAUUAUUCUUUCCAAAGUGACUAAAACUAAGAAUUUUUGAAUAACGUUUAUUUCUGUGAUAAAGUAAUUAUGUACAAGUUAGAAGUUAUGCUAGGGGGCCUGGAAAUUCUCGGACAGAAAUUCUAUUUUCUCAUAAUUUCAUGGCUUUUAAAUAUGUCGCCAUUGCAUAGAGUUUUCACAGCAGCUGGUAGAGAUGUAAUAUUAAUUUUAUUUGCCUAGGGAAGGGAAGGAAGUAGCUGGCCAUUGUGUGUAUGUGAUGUAGUAGGGAAGACUAGGUUACUCUGAAGUAGUUUCGAGCAUUAGUACCUUAGGUAUUGCAUUGAAUUAUUUAAGAAGGUGGGGAAAGUUCAGAAGAAAAUGAUUGGAAUGAUAGUACCAAAAUUUCAGUGAGGUAUGGUUAGUGGAAUUAGAAAUAUUUAUCCUGGACACCAUAGGAGAAUAUAAAACUAGUUUCAAAUAUUUGGAGAGCUGACAAGUAGAAGAUAAAUUAAGGAAUUGUUUGUAUUGUCCUAUGGCCUUGAGAAGAAGCUAUAUGGAGUCUUUUGCCUCAAAAUGAGAAAAGCACAAAGAUGUCCAAAGAGGCAAAGAGAAUUCUCAUUCAAGAUGGCAGACACAGCACAUAUCUCCUUUCUACUUUAAAUCUCAUAGAAAUGUCAGCAAAGAAGAACUAAGGGUAAUAAAUUAAAGACUACUCGGUACAGAAGAAAGGGCAUCAGGAACUAGGGAUAUAGAUAAGUUUCUUGAAAGUGGGAAUACUUGGAAUUGUAUUAACAGCUUAAAUCACAUUCACAGGAGAAGGCUGCAGUAGAGGCUAGAGCUAUUUUUCCUGGCAACAGACCCAGAGAGAAGCUCAACACUUGGAGUAUGAAAGGAGAGUUGGAAAGAAAUCAACUGUGGAAUAACUGCGUGAGUCAUAGUCCAUGUUCUCCUUCCCUGCAUCACAUGCUCAGGCUAAAACCAGAGGACUAAUAUUUAAAAUAAUUGAAUAGUCUUCGUGAGAAGGAGCCCUAGUUGGGGUGAUGCCUCAUCUGAGUAAACUUCUUCCCACUUUUGCUGGGAAGUGGGAGAAGUAGGGAGGGGGACCUCCAACCUCCUCUUCUUUCACUACAAGGUCUAAAGCAAAGGCUGCCAGUGACAGCCACUUGUGUAGACAAGAGAGAGCUGGACAAGGCCGAGCUAUCUGCAUUGAAUGAGGUGACUUACCUCAGUUGUAGGUAUGAAUCUAUAGCCAAGGAUUAUGAAAACCUGAAGAAAAAUGAGGACAAAAGAGCAGGUUGAGAGAAAAAAUACCCUGACUCUGGAGGAAAUAGAUAAUUCAGGACAUAGAAAAUUCUUUAUUCUAUGUAGUAUCCUCAUGGAAACAAAGUCGAGAGAAAGCAUUUUUAGUGCAAAAUUAGAUUGCUAAGAAAGAACAACUAAAACAAAAUAAAUAGUUAUUAAAAUGAAAAAGUAAUUGUUAAAGUUAGAAAUUCAAGGGAAGACCUGGGAGAAAAAGUUGAAGAAACUGCUCUAAAUGUAGUGCAAAAAGAUAAAGGAUGGAAAAUGUGGGAGAAAAGUGAAGAGAUUAGAGAAGCAUCCAAAGGGAUGUUCAGAAAGAGACAAAACAAAGAAUAAGAGAGAAUUUUCCAUAAGUGAGGAAAUAGGACUUGAGAUUGUAAGAACCCUAGAGAAUGCAAAAUAGGAUGAAUGAACAAACUUAGCCCAAGGCACAUUCUUGUGACAUUUUAGAUAUUGAGAAUAAAGGGAAGAGUCUAAAAGCCAAAAGAAUAGAUUACUCAGUGAGAAUCCAAUUGGUAUUAGAUAGAUCAUCAGCAACUGUAAAUGCUAAGAAAAACAAAACAAGAAGCAUGCCUUCAAAAUGUGUAAAAUAAAGUUUUUUGAACCUAAAAUUCUCUACUUAGCCAAACUAUCAAUCGAUCAAGAGUGAGGCAUUUUCAAGCAUGCAAGAACUCAGACCAUUUACCACCCACAGACUAUUUCUGAAAGAAUUACUGAAGCAAAACAAAAAAGAAUCCAAGUAGGAGGAAGCCAUGGCCUCUAAGGAACAGUGGAUCUCACCCAAGAUUGUAAUGAAAUAUAAUUCCAGGAUGACAACCUUGAGGCAGGCCUAGAAAGCCAUCAGUCUGAAUUAGAACCAGAAGUCAGAUGCUCUGUGAAGAAUCUCUUUCAGGAGGACAUGGAUUUCUUCUAUAAAUUGAAUGACUGAGAAGCUGAGUGGUCUUGUGACAAGGCAAAGGCAUGGUAGGUCAUUGUGAUAAGGUAUCAUCCAAACACUCUCCAAACUGUGAAGUAAUUUUCUUCUUCCAAUAGCAAAGGUUUAUUGACAAGAGUUACGUCUCCUCUAUAGGCUCAAGGGCACAGCUGUGCUUGGUUCUGCAGUGAACAAUGAUCUCCCUACGAAUAUUAUGAAUGCUACUUUUCAGUUUUCAGUUUAAAAAAUCAAUUUAUAGACAAUGCAUCAAAGAUUAAUUGUAGUUAUAGGACAAGUGUGAAAACAAUAGUACACUGGAAUGGAGGUUAGGAGAGAGGGAAGGAGCAAAGGAACAAGAUGUAAUGAUGUUGGAUUCUUUUCAUCAGAAAUAAAAAGAAUUAAGAGAUAUUGUGUCUACAUUUGAGAAGUCAAAAUAGGGUUUCAAGUAUCUUAUAUAAAUUUGUUAAUUGUAGUGAUAUCACACUGAGGCACUAUAACAUAGUCGUUAAGAGCAUGGAUCCUGGAGCCAGAACACCUGCGUUUGAAUUUUUGCCACACACUUCAAUUUGGGCAAAUUGCUUAUCUGUGCCUUGGUUUUCUCAGCAAAAAUUGAAAAUAAAUAGUUAAUAUUUCACAAAGUUAUUUGAAAAUAAAAACAGUUGAUAUAUAUAAAGUGCUUAGAACAGUCUUUGGCACAUAAAAAAUUAUUCUAUAUCAUCAUAUGUUACCGAUGAUAACGAUGAUGAUGAUGAUGAUGGAAAACAACUAAACAUCUGGAGAAAAGGGAACCCUUGUACCCUGCUGGUGGGAAAGUAAAUUAGUACAUUGAUUAUGGAAAACAGUCUGGAGGUUCCUCAGAAAAUUAAAAAUAAAUCUACAUAUUACCCAGAAAUGGGAUUUCUGGGUAUAUAUGCAAAGAAGAUGAGAUAAGUAUGCCAAAGAGACAUCUGCACUUUCAUGUUCACUGCAGCAUUAUUUACAGUAUCCAAGAAAUGAAAUCAAUGUAAGUGUCCAUCAGUGGAUGAAUGGGUAAAGAAAAUGCGGGGAGGGGGAUUAGGAAGAUGUUGGUCAAAGGAUACAAGGUUUCAGUUAGACAGGAGGAAUACAUUCAGGAGAUCUAUUGUACAAUAUUGUGGCUAUAGUUAAUAACAAUGUUUUAUAUUCUUGAAAGUUGCUCUAAGAGAAUAGGUUUUAAGUGUUGUCACCAUAAAAAUGUUAAGUAUGUGAGCUAAUGCAUAUGUUAAUUUGCUCAAUUUAGCUAUUUCACAAUAUAUACAUAUUUUAAAACAACAUAUUGACAUGAUAAAUAUAUACAAUUCUUUGUCAGGUACAAAGUUAAAUGAAAAUACAACACAAAACAUUGAAAAAGUUAAAAAAUAAAAAUUUAAUGGGCAGAGAUCGGAAAAGGGAGGUAGUAGCUUGAGAAAAUUUAUUUUUUCAAUUUUUUUAAAAUGAGAGAUCAACGAAUGUUUAAACUUGACAAGUUAGUAAAGAGAGGCAUAACCAUAUUCAGUGUUAUGGAAGCAAUCUUCAGAGAAAUUUCUAUUUUGUCCUAUUUUAAGGGUUUUUAAAAAUUCAUAUGCAAGCACUACUUUUAUUUAGUUUUUACCAAUUUUACUGAGGUGUAAUUGACAUACAAUAAACUGCACAUAUUUAAAGUGAACAGUUUGAUACAUUUUGGACUUAGGUACACACCCCUGAAACUAUCACAGUAAUCAAGAUGAUGAACAUAACCACCAACCAUCAUGCUCUAAAGUUUCUUCAUGCACCUUGAUAAUCUCUUCUUCCUACCUCUUCCCACUCCCCCAAUCUCAGGCAACCACCGUUCUGCUUAUGUGACAAUAAAUUGGCUUGCAUUUCCUAGAAUUUUAUAUCAAUGAAAUCAUAUAGUAUGUACUCUUACAUCUGACUUCUUUCAUUCAGCAUAAUUAUUUUGAGAUUAUUCACACUAUACUGUGUAACAAUACAUUCAUUCUGUGGAUAAACCACAAUUAACAAAUUUACUUGUUGAUGGAAAUCUGGUUUUUGUUUUGCUUUUUCCAGUUUUUGGCUAUUACAAAUAGAACUGCUGUGAUCCUUCAUGUACAAGUCUUGGUAUGGGCUGGGAUUUCAUUUCUUUGGGAUAAAUACUUAGAAGUGGAAUGGCUGGAUUAUAUGAUAGGCAUAUGUUUAAAUUUUUAAGAAACUGUCAAACUGUUUUCCAAAGUGUUUUACAGUAUAUGAGAAUUCCAGUUUCUCCACAUCCUUAUCUUGGCAGUCAACUCUAUCAGCCAUUCUGACAGCUAUGUUGUGGUAUCUUAUUGCAGUCUUAUUUUACAUUUCCUUGGUGACUAUUUAUAUUGACUAUCUUCUCAUGUUUUUGUUUGUCAUCUGUAUAUCUUUAUGGAAAAGUAUCUGUUCAGAUAUUUUGGUCGUUUAAAAAAUUGUUUUUUUUUCUUUUUAUUGAGAUUUCAGUUUUCUUUAUGUAUUUUGGAUACAAAGCUUUCAUUAAAGAUAUGAUUUACAAAUGUUUUCUUCCAAUCUGUAGCUUGACUUUUUAUUCUUUUAACAGUGCCUUCUGAAGAAUAGAAAUUUUUUAUUUUGGUGAGGCUCAAUCUUUACCUUUUUUCCUUUCAUGGAUUAUGCUUGGGUGUUAUGUUUACCAAAUAUUUGCAUAACCUAUGAUCACAAAGAUUUUCUAUUGGGUUUAGUGUUAGGUUUUGUAUUGAAGUCUGUGAUCAGUUUAAAGCUAAUCCUUGUGUGUGGUUGAAACAAAAUUAAUUUUUUUUGCAUACAUGUAUUCAAUUGUUCCAAUGCCAUUUGUUGAAUCUCUCCUUUCUUCACCAAAUUGCCUUUGUACUUUUGCCAAACAUCAGUUGCUGAAAUAUGUGUUGGUCUAUUUAUGGACUCUAUUUUGUUCCAUUGAUAUAUUUGUUUAUCUUGAUUCUAAUAUCAGACUGUAUUGAUUAGUCUUAUAAUAAGCCUUGAAAGUACACAGUUAGUUCUCCAACUUUGCUUUUCUUUGUCAAAAUUGUUUUGGCUCUUUUUUUUUUUUUUUUUUUUUUUUUGAGAUGGAGUCUUGCUCUGUUUCCCAGGCUGGAAUGCUGUGGCGCAAUCUCAGCUCACUGCAGCCUCUGCCUCCUGGGUUCCAGCAAUUCUCCUGUCUCAGCCUCCCUAGUAGCUGGGAUUACAGGCGUAAGCCACCAUGCCUGGCUAAUUGUGUGUGUGUGUGUGUGUGUGUGUGUGUGUGUGUGUGUGUGUGUAUUUUUAGUAGAGAUGGGGUUUCACCAUGCUGGCCAGGCUACUCACGAACUCCUGACCUCAGGUGAUCUGCCUGGCUCAGCCUCCCAAAGUGCUGGGAUUACAGGCUUAAGCCACUGUGCCCAGCCUGUUUUGGCUCUUAUAGGUCCUUUGCAUUUCCAUAUGAAUUGUAGAAUCAGCUUGUUGAUUUCUACAAACAAACCUUUUGAGAUUUUUAUUGGGAUUGCAUUGGGUCUGUAGAUCAAUUCAGGAGGAACUGACAUCUUAACAAUAUGAAGUCUUCUCACCCAUACCAAUGUACAUCUCUCCCAUUUAUUUAGGCCUUCUUUAAUUUUUCUCAGCGGUUUUGUAAUUUGUAAUGAAAAGAUCUUGCCUAUAUUUGUUAGAUUUUUUUCCUAAAUAUUUCAUAAUUUCAUCCUAUGGUGUUAUUUUUAAAAUUUCAUUUUCCAAUUAUUUGUUGACAGAAUAUAAGAAAUAAAAUUUAUUUUUGCAUAUUGAUGGCAUAUUCUGUGAAAUUGCUAAGCUCACUUAUUAGUCCUGCAAGUUGUUUUUAUAGAUUUCUUCAGUUUUUUUACAUAGACGAUCAUGUUGUUGGCAAGGAAAGACAGUCUUACUUCUUAUCCAAUCUGGAUGCUCUUUAUUUCUUUUUCUUCUAUGACUGCACUGGCCACAAUCUCCGAUACAGUACUGAAUAGAAGUUUGAGAGCAAGCAUCCUUGUCUUGUUCCUGAUCUUAGAAGGAAAGCAUUCAGUCUUUUGCCAUUAGGUAUGGUAUUAGUUAUACUUUUUUGUAUAUGCCCUUUAUCAGGUUGAGGAAGUUCCCAUUUAUUUUAGUUUACUAUAAAUUUUCAUCAGGAAUGGCUGUUGGAUUUUGUCAUUUUUUUAAAUCCACUGAUAUAAUCAUAUGGUUUUUCUUCUUUGAUAUGUUAAUAAAUUACAUUGAUUUUUUAUUAUACCAAUCUUGCAUUCUUAGGAUGAGCCCCUCUUAGUCAUUAUGUAUUACCCUUUUUAUGUGUUGUUGGAUUUGAUUCCUUAAAAUAUUGUUUUGAACGUUCACAUCUAUGUUCAUGAGAUAUAUUGCUCUGUGGUUUUACUUCUUUUCAUGUCUUUGUUUGGUAUUUAGAGUAUUUAGCUCACCACAUAGAAUGAGUGGCGAGUUAUUACCUUGUCUUCAAAUUUUUGGAAGAGUUUAUACAGAAUUGAUAUUAUUUCCUUCUCAAAAUGUUUGAUAUAAUUCUCCACUGAACCUGAGUCUGGAGUUUUCUUUGUAGGAAGGUUUCUAUCUACAAAUCCAAUUUCUUUCGCAGAUAUUGGGUUGUUCACAUUAUCUUUUUCUUUUUAAACGAAAUUUGGUGGUUUGUGUCCUUUGAAAAAUUAAAAGUGCUCAACAUCAUUGAUCAUCAGAGAAAUGCAAAUCAAAAGUACAAUGAGAUAUCAUCUCACUUCAAUUAAAUUUGCUUAUAUCCAAAAGACAGGCAAUAACAAAUGCUGUUGAAGAUGUAGAGAAAAGGGAGCCCUUCUACACUGUUGGUGGGGAUGUAAAUUAGUACAUCCACUAUGAAGAACAGUUUGGAGGUUCCCCAAAAAGCUAAAAAUAGAGCUACUAUAUGAUCCAGCAAUCCCACUGCUGGGUAUAUAUCCCAAAGAAAGGAAAUCAGUAUAUCAAAGAGAUAUCUACACUCCCAUGUUUGUUGCAGCCCUGUUCACAAUAGCCAAGAUUUUGAAGCAACCUAAGUAACCAUCAUCAGAUGAAUGCAUAAAGAAAAUGUGGUACAUAUACACAAUGGAAUACUAUUCAGUCAUCAAAAAGAAAGAGAUACUGUCAUUUGCAACAAUGGAUGAAACUGGAGAUCAUUAUGUUAAGUGAAAUAAGCCAGGCUCAAAAAGAUAAACAUCACACUUAUCUGUGAGAUGUAAAAAUUAAAAUGAUUGAACUCAAACAGAGAGAGUAGAAGGAUGGUUAUCAGAGGCUAGGAAGGGUAGUGGGGGGCUGUGGAGGACUUGGGGGUGGUUAAUGGGUAUAGAAAAAUAGAAAGAAUGAAUAAGACCUACUGUUUGAAAGCAGAACAGUGUGACUGUAGUCAAUAACAACUUAAUUGUACAUUUUAAAAUAACUAAAAGAGUAUAAUUCAAUUGGUUGUAACUCAAAGGAUAAAUGCUUAAAGGGAUGGAUUCCCCAUUCUCCAUAUAUGAUUAUCACACAUUGCAUGCCUGUAUGACAUCUCAUGUACCCCAUAAAUAUAUACACCUACUAUGUACCCCCCAAAGUUUUAAAAAAUUAUUUCAUUUCAUCAAAGUUGUCAAUAAUUUUGGCAUUUGAACUUCCAAUAGUGUGAAAAUUAAAAAAUAAUAAUUUUGGCAUAAAGUUGUUCACAACAUACUCAUUAUCCUAUUAAUAUCUAUAGCAUCUGUAGUGAUUUCACCUUUUUUAUUCCUGAUAUUAGUAAUUUCUGUUUUCCAUUUUUGUCCUUAUCAGUCUGACUAGACACCUAUUAUUUUUAUUGACCUUCUCUAAUAUUCAGCUUUUGGCUUCAUUAAGCUUUAUUGUUUUUGUGACUUCUAUUUCAUUGAAUUCCAAUCUGAUCUUUAUUAUUUCCUUUCUUCUGCUUACUUUGCAUUUUAUUUUUUCUUCUUUUUCUGGCUUCUUAAGGGGAAGCUGAGAUCAUGGAUUUGAGAAAUUUCUUCUCCGUUACUGGAGGUAUUUAAUACUAUAAAUAUAAUACUAGUACUAUAAAUUUUAGUACUAUACAUGUAAUACUAGUACUAUAAAUUUUAGUACUAUAAAUUUCCCCUGAAGUACUUCUUUAGUGCCAUCCACAAAUUUCAAUAUGUUAUUUUUUAAAUUUUCAAUUAGUUCAGCAUACUUUCUAAUAUGCCUUUUGAUUUCUUCUUUUAUCAAUGGGGGUGUUUAGAAGUGUAUUAUUUUGUUGGCAAGUAUUUGGGAAUUUGCCAUAAAACUUUUUAUUAUUGAUUCCCAAUUUAAUUCCAUUAUAGUUAGAAGAAAUAUUCAGUUGGGCUUCAAUUCAUUCAUACAUAUUGAGACAUGUUUUAUGGUCCACAAUAUAGACUAUCAUUUUAAUGUUCCAUGUGCAUUUGAAAAAAAAAUGUGUUAUACAGCUGUUGUUUGGUGAGGUGUUCUAUGCCAAUUUGUCAUGUUGGUGGGUAGUUUGGUUCAAGUCUUCUAUAUCUUUACUGAUAUUGUUCUAUUAUUAUUGAGGGGUAUUGAUAUAUUUGUCUAUAGUUGUAGAGUCAUCUAUUUCUCUUUGCCGUUAAAUGAAUUUUUGCUUCCUGUAUUUUAAAUUGAUUUUAUUAGGUACAUAAGCAUUUAGGAUUGUUACGUACUCUCAAUGAAUUCACCCCUUAUUCAUUAUGAAACGAACUUCCUUGUUCCCAGUGAUAUUAAUAUUGUUUGCUCUUGCUCUGACAUUCAUAUAGCCACUUCAGCUUCCUUUUGAUUAGUCUUAGCAUGUUAACAUGGCUGUUCAGGCUACCAUAACAAAACAGCACAGGCUGGGUAACUUAAACAACAGACAUUUAUCUUUCCACAGUUCUGAAGACUGAAGUCCAAGAUCAAGGUGCCAGCAGAAUUGGUGUCUGGUGAGGUCUCUCUUCUUGUCUUGCAACUGGCUACCUUCUUGUAGUGUCCUCACACAGCUUUCUCUGUGUGCAAGCAGAGAGCAGGGUGGGGAGAGAGAGAAAGAGAGCAAGUUCUGGUGUCUCUUCCUUUCCAGUUCUGUUGGAUUAGAGUCCCACCCUUAUAUCCUCAUUCGACUUUAAUCACUUCCUUAAUGCCCUUAUCUCAAAAUACAGUCAAAUUGGGGGUUAAGAUUUCAUCAUAUGAAUUUUGGAGAGACACAGUUCAGUCCAUAGCAGCAUGGUAUAUCUUUUCCAUCCUUUUACAUAUAACUCAUUUUCUUUUAGUAUGUGAAGUGUUUUUCUUAUAGGAAGAGUAGAGUUGAAUUUUGCAUUUUUACCCAGUCCUAACAAUCUCAGUUGGGGGGUCAAAAUAAUAACAUUUAAUGUGAUUAUUGAUAUGCUAAGGUUUAAAUUUGUCACCUUGCUAUCUGCUUUCUAUUUAUUCCAAGUGUUAUUUGUUCUCCCUUUGUACUUUUUCUGCCUUCUUUUGGAUUAUUUUUAUUAACUCAUUUUAUCUUCUCUGUUGGUUUAUUAACUACAACUUUGAUGGAUACACACACACGCGCGCACACACACACACACACACACACACACACGUUAUUUUGACUCCCCCAGUUGAGAUUGUCAGGAUUGCAUAAAAAAGCAAAAUUCAACUCUAUUCUUCCUAUAAAAGAAAAAUACUUCCCAUACUAAAAAAAAAAAAAAUGGUUAAAUGUAAAAGGUUGGAAAAGGUACACCAUGCUGCUAUGGACUGAAUUGUGUCUCUCCAAAAUUCAUAUGGCAAAACCUUAACCCCCAAUUUGACUGUAUUUUGAGAUAAAGGGAUACAUUAAAAUACAUUUAAUCUCAAACAUAUUUUUUCAUUUCUAGAAGUUUGAUGUAUACAUUUUAAAUAUCUUUUAGUGUCUCUACUUAAGUUUUUGAACAUAUAUAGCUGUAAUAGCUGUUUUAAUAUCCUUGUUUGUUAAUUUUAACAUCUGCCUCAGGUUUGGUUUGGUUUCAGUUGAUUGUUUUCCCUUCAUUAUGGUCAUGUUUUACUGCUUCUUUGCCUUCCUGGUCAUUUUUUUAUUGUAUGCCAGACAUUGUAUAUUUUUUUCCUAUUGAGUGUUGAAUUUUUUUAUUUCUAUAAAUAUUCUUGAGCAGUUGAGUUGUUUGGAAACAGUUUGUGUUUGGGGAUCAAACCUUUAUGAUUUGUUAAUCAGGACCAGAGAAGUGUUUAGUUUAGGGCUAAUUAUGCUCCACUACUGAGGCAAGAUUUCUUUGAGUACUCUACCAAGUGAUUCAUGAAUUAGGAGAUUUUCUAGUCUGGCUGAUGAAAGUAAGCCCUUUUCCAGUCAUGUGUAAGAACUUGAUACUGUUCCCCUUAAUCCUGUGGGAUGGUUCUUUUCCUUAUCUGCGGUUGUUUCCUCUUAUGCAUGUGAUAAUCAGUAGUGUGAUGAAUACUUGAGAGGAUCCCUUUACAGAACUUGCCAUCAUAUUUUUCAUAGAGAAUAUCUUGCAUUAGCUGAUUGAAAUAUUUAUUCUUGAUUGGUACUUGGCAGUCCUGUUUACUACCUGUCCUGUAUAUGGAAUAUCACUGCCAACUUUAGCGGGGGGGGAUGGGACUGGGUGGGCAGUUCCUGCAAAAACUUCAAAUGACUAAUUAGAAAUGUCAGUGGCAUUUUCUCCCUCAGAAACAUCGCUGUUUAGGAUCGUGAAUUUUCUUUUACUCAUAUUUGAUUCGAUUAUCUUUCUUUCAAAGAAUUUUUCUAGAAUGAAUAUUUUACUUGUAUAUUAGGAAUAGUUUUUAAAUAAUCAGAACACAACUGCUCUCCUCAAUUAUCAUCAUUCUCAUUACUCAUUCCAUUUCUCUGGCUGGCAGCCUAUGGACCACUGGAAGGCCCGGCCAGGGGUGUGGUCAUCAGGACUUCCCAAAAGCACAUCUCCUUCCUCUGUGGCUUGACUGUGUGCCUCUCCUCUCGAGCUGCAACUGUACCAUGAGUCUCCCUUCCAGAUCAAAAGGAAGAUCCCGACCGCAGUCCUUUGGAAUAAGAUUUGCUAGUAUUCAAUGUUCUUUCUUGUGUCUCAACUCAUAUCCAUAUUUUCUUCUCAGAAUUCCAUAGGUUUAGCCCUUUGGGGGUUUUUACUUUUUUCUUCUUAUUUUUUAUACUGCCUGUUCCUACUUUAUGCUGUGUUUUACCCAUAUUUAUGUCAUUUUAAUCAGUUCCAUAAGACUGUGUUUGAACUCCCCACCUCCACUUGCUUUUGUUUUGGGUGAUGACUGUGCUGUCCACCUCUGCCACUUGUUUCAGGCCCUACUACUUUUUCCCUCCAAUGUUCCUUCUUUUGUGUCUGCCAUCUAUUAUUGCUGAAUACGUUAUUGUCGUUUUUGUCUUCUUAUUUUAUUUUCUCCUCUUCUUCCUUCAGUGGAUGUCUUGAGAUGUUCUUGCUUCUUAUGUUCCAUGUUUGCUGACAUAGGGCAAAACUAAGAAUCUGCGACAAGACAAGCUGCUUUUUCCUCUAUCAAAGCUGCCUUCAUCGGGCAGCUGUCCUUCAUUCUCAAUUACUUUAUCUACUCUUUUUUGCCUUUUUCACAUCCAACCUGUAAUCUAUAUUUUCCUUUCUUCAGCUAUAUCUUAAACUGUUAAAAUAGAGCCUGACAUGUAGUACACAUUCAGUAAAUAUCUGUUGAAUAAAAGAAAACAAUAAAUGAAUGAAUGGUUGUUUGGUAAUUAUCGCCUCAGUUGUUGAUUCUUUGCUUUUAUUUUAGUUCCUGGAAGCUGGUCUGCCUGGAUCAGCAUUGCGUGUGGUGCAUAUUUUUAUGUAGUUUGCAUUACCUUAUGCCCCACAAAGACCACACAUUUCUUACUAUACAGGAAGUGCUGUUGCAUCCUGGGCUUCUAUAUGCAUAGUGAUUUUCCUUACCAUGUGUGUUGAUGUGUUUUUAAAGUGGGAAGUGGAGGCUUUUGUGCAUAGAAAGGAACCAUGUAUAGGUAUUUGAAUAUUAAAAUAACAUUUAAUUAAUUUAAGUUGCAAACGAAACUAUAAUUUUCUUAGGACUUUAAGUUCACUUUGUGAUUUUGAUUUUACUUAUAAA
Molecule: long non-coding RNA, 12999 nt
Filed under: Homo sapiens (human)
Lineage: Eukaryota; Metazoa; Chordata; Mammalia; Primates; Hominidae
Description: long non-coding RNA NONHSAT162374.1
Source: RNAcentral